This 433-nucleotide ribosomal RNA is filed under the name uncultured bacterium. Its description in RNAcentral is "partial 16S ribosomal RNA". It matches the Rfam family "Bacterial small subunit ribosomal RNA", at positions 29 to 507 of the family's 1533-position model. The record is from RNAcentral.
AACGAACGCUGGCGGCAUGCCUAACACAUGCAAGUCGAACGAGACCUUCGGGUCUAGUGGCGCACGGGUGCGUAACGCGUGGGAACCUGCCCUUAGGUUCGGAAUAACUCCCCGAAAGGGGUGCUAAUACCGGAUAAUGUCUUCGGACCAAAGAUUUAUCGCCUUUGGAUGGGCCCGCGUUGGAUUAGCUAGUUGGUAGGGUAAAAGCCUACCAAGGCGACGAUCCAUAGCUGGUCUGAGAGGAUGAUCAGCCACACUGGGACUGAGACACGGCCCAGACUCCUACGGGAGGCAGCAGUGGGGAAUAUUGGACACUGGGCGAAAGCCUGAUCCAGCAAUGCCGCGUGAGUGAUGAAGGCCUUAGGGUUGUAAAGCUCUUUUACCCGGGAUGAUCAUGACAGUACCGGGAGAAUAAGCUCCGGCUAACUCCGUG